Molecule: ribosomal RNA, 434 nt
Filed under: uncultured Leptolinea sp.
Lineage: Bacteria; Bacillati; Chloroflexota; Anaerolineae; Anaerolineales; Anaerolineaceae
Description: bacterial SSU rRNA
Rfam family: Bacterial small subunit ribosomal RNA
Source: RNAcentral
AAGCAGCGGAGCGUGUGGUUAAUUCGAUGCUACACGAGAACUUACCAGGUUUGACAUGCAAGUGGUAGGAACCGAAAGGCGACGACCUUCGGGAGCUUGCACAGGUGCUGCAUGGCUGUCGUCAGCUCGUGUCGUGAGAUGUUCGGUUAAGUCCGCUAACGAGCGCAACCCUCGUCGUGUGUUAUACGUGUCACACGAUACUGCCGGUAUCAAGCCGGAGGAAGGUGGGGAUGAUGUCAAGUCAGCAUGGCCUUUAUAUCCUGGGCUACACACACGCUACAAUGGCAGAUACAAUAGGUUGCGAAACCGCGAGGUGGAGCCAAUCCUCAAAGUCUGUCUCAGUUCAGAUUGUAGGCUGCAACUCGCCUGCAUGAAGUUGGAGUUGCUAGUAAACGCAGGUCAGCUAUACUGCGUUGAAUACGUUCCCGGGGUUU